RNAcentral lists this ribosomal RNA (407 nucleotides) under uncultured bacterium. Its description in RNAcentral is "partial 16S ribosomal RNA". It matches the Rfam family "Bacterial small subunit ribosomal RNA", at positions 30 to 526 of the family's 1533-position model. The record is from RNAcentral.
AUUGAACGCUGGCGGCAGGCCUAACACAUGCAAGUCGAGCGGAGCGGCGGACGGGGGAGUAAUGACUAGGAAUCUGCCUGGUAGUGGGGGAUAACGGCCGGAAACGGGCGGUAAUACCGCAUACUAUCAGAUGAGACUAGGUGGGAUUAGCAAGUUGGUGGGGUAAAGGCCUACCAAGGCGACGAUCCGUAACUGGUCUGAGAGGAUGACCAGUCACACUGGAACUGAGACACGGUCCAGACUCCUACGGGAGGCAGCAGUGGGGAAUAUUGGACAAUGGGCGCAAGCCUGAUUCAGCCAUGCCGCGUGUGUGAAGAAGGUCUUCGGGUUGUAAAGCACUUUAAGCUGGGAGGCGUUACCCACAGAAUAAGCACCGGCUAACUUCGUGCCAGCAGCCGCGGUAAUUC